GGAAAUCAUUAUAACUCAGGAGAUGGAAUAUUUGUAGCACCAAUCACCGGAGUUGAUCAGUUCUCCUGGAUGACAUUGACAGAUGUCGUAAUUGAUACACUUGGUAUUAAUAUUGGAUUAUAGCUGCUGGAACAAUUCUAGUAACUAGGUUGACUGUGUGUAAUUAGAUAAAGACGAUCAUGUAUGGAUACAAACAGCAGGAGCCGGAAGCAAUAAUAACAUAAUGAAGAGUUAUGCAAGUUCAUUUAUGGGGCUAAUUGUGUUCGAAACAUAAGGUUACAAGCAGAGAGACAACAUAAGUUUCAUUCGGUAUGGG
RNAcentral lists this long non-coding RNA (316 nucleotides) under Mytilus galloprovincialis (Mediterranean mussel). The record is from RNAcentral. Lineage: Eukaryota; Metazoa; Mollusca; Bivalvia; Mytilida; Mytilidae.